UACGUAGGCAGCGAGCGUUGUUCGGAGUUACUGGGCGUAAAGGGUGUGUAGGCGGUCCUCUAAGUUUGGUGUGAAAUCUCCCGGCUCAACCGGGAGGGUGCGCCGAAAACUGGGGGGCUAGAGUGCGGGAUGGGUAAGUGGAAUUCCUGGUGUAGCGGUGAAAUGCGUAGAUAUCAGGAGGAACACCUGUGGUGUAGACGGCUUACUGGACCGCAACUGACGCUGAGGCGCGAAAGCUAGGGGAGCAAACAGG
RNAcentral lists this ribosomal RNA (253 nucleotides) under uncultured bacterium. Its description in RNAcentral is "partial 16S ribosomal RNA". It matches the Rfam family "Bacterial small subunit ribosomal RNA", at positions 524 to 776 of the family's 1533-position model. The record is from RNAcentral.